Gasterosteus aculeatus aculeatus (three-spined stickleback) is the source of this 15983-nucleotide long non-coding RNA. Lineage: Eukaryota; Metazoa; Chordata; Actinopteri; Perciformes; Gasterosteidae. The record is from Ensembl.
GAGAGGAAGUGAGAGAGGAUGAGGGGAGUGUUUGAGUUCACAGCCUGGGCUACUUCACACCUGCAGCCACUGAGCUUGUUUACACUCAAAUACACACACACACAUUCAGUACACAUUUUCUCACCCACACACACCAAGAAAUACACGCACACACACACACACACACACACACACACAAGCGCCGGAUGACAACCGCAUAACACGGCAACAACACACCACAGCAGGCCUCUUCUGUAUCCACUCAAUCACAGUCUUUCUAAUCACAUGCAAAUUAAUAUCCCGUUGUCCUCAGGUUGCAUCCAUCACGCUAACAACAAAAUUCACCACAUUGCAUGACUUCACUUCCUCACCGUUCCUGUGAGAACGUGCAAGCAGUAAGACAGCUUUUAUGGUGCAAACAGGGAAUGCAGUGCCUGCUUUCUGUCCAAUAUUGAGAGGGUUUCCUUUGGUAUAUAACUACUUUGGAUCAAAUGCUUUGGCAAAAUACCAAAAUUGGUGCAUAUUAAGCCAUAUGAAAUUAGUAAUCAGAGCCUAUAUUUUCCUGCUCUCAGAAAGCAUACUGGUUUUUAAUCGGGAUGUUUUGCUUUUGUAUGUCCUUUGGGGUGGAAACUUUGUGCAUCCUUUUAAUGUAAUGAGUGCUGAAAAAUGAACCAUCUGCUUUUCUAUUUACUAAACAUUCUAAAAAUCUGUCCUCAAGCCCAGGGAUGGAACUGCUCCGGGGCAUAAUGCAAACAUAUCCUUUUGAUAUUAAAAUGAAAUGUGAUUUAAAUUGCAAGUGUAAAGUGUACCUUUGAAUUAAAGCAAUUAUUAUUUGUUUGUUUCUGACAUCAAAAGUAGCUCACAGUGAAUUGACAGUGGCCCUGUAAGCUUCGGGAAAAUGAUUGAUGCGCUUGAGUUAGUCAGAGUCACUUGCAUCUCAGUCUUUAAGAUUUAAUUUCAUUUGAAUACAUCCAUAAUCAUUAUCACCGUUUUGAAAGGAACCUAUUAUAACUAUUUGCUGGGACUUCAAAAUGUUUUACAACAGGCACGAAACAUCAAAUAUGAGUAUUGCUGAAAAGUCUGUAAAUGCACUCAUUAAGGCAAUUGAAUAAUGUUGUGGUGAAGUGAUCAGAAAGCAGCUUGUGUUCAACGGAGGGUUAAAUAAUGGAGUUGUACAACCUUGAAUACAGAUUUAUUUUUUAGUUUCUUGUAUGUUUUGUCAGGAACUUUUAUCACAGACACUUUUUGACAGCAAAAAGUCACAUUAAUAUCAAAUUGUUGACUUUCAACUGAAUUUGCAUCCAAGCAAAUAAAUUUGCAAGAUGUUAAAAUUGUAAAUUGAUAAAAUACACUAUCUGCUAUUGAUAUCAUUUAAAAACUAAAUAUGCUAAAUAUGGUAGUGACCCCCUUUGUUAAAAGCAGAUUGACUUAAUACCAAGAGUUUUCAAACAAACAUAAUCAUAAAGCAAAUCUUGAAUUUAGGAUAGAGCUUAACCAUCUGUAUGCUGAAGUAACAAAAUACCAUUCCUUCAUCAUGCGAUGAGUGAUGCUCACUCACCUAAUGUUUCUCUGAAAAUGUUAUCUUACAUGCGAUGGUUUUACAGGUCAAAAAUACUUGUAAAUAAUGUAUAAUUUUUUCCAUUUCUGAAAUGCUGUCCGUAUUAGAUGUUUUUGUCUCUGUCUCCUCGGUCUGAAAGAGCUGCAGGUUAAGGUCGAUGCUCCACAGGUUAUAUUUCUAAAUGUGACAAAGGGGAGAAUAAAAAGAUAUUUUAACUUUUUGCACCUCCAUCAGACUGCAAAUACAUUACUCAUAAGCUGACUUUAUAAUAUUUACAUGAAAGCCAAGACAAAUGUUGAUUCAUAAAAAUUCUUAUGGAAACGUAUCCUUGACUGUGAUUUUAGUACAUUUGUGUCAGUAUUUUAAAGGCUACAUAAUGAUAGUGAUUGGGAGCUAAAACAAUUAGCUGAUUAAAUUAUUAUUUAAUAAUUGUCUUUAUUAAUUAGUCAAACACCUAAAAUAAUCAACAAACCAUCAAUAAAUAGAUAUGUCAAGCAAAAAGCCCAAACGUCUGUGGUUUUUGCAUGUGAUUGUUUUAUCUUCUAAUUUGUCUUGUAUAAAUUCAAAAUUAUAAUUUUUCUUGAAACAAGUCAUUUAAAUAAUACAUGUAACGCCUCAGUCAUGUCUACUAUUAAAUAAUAUAAACGGAUCAGUUAACCUGAUGUUGGAAGAGAACAUUAUUUCCUUUUGAUAUCAUUUUUCAUCUACCAAUUGUGGUGUUGACCUGUUACAUCUAUGAACCUUUUAUGAACUCUAGACGGUUGCUGCAGAUACAUUCCAUCAGGUUAGAGAGGGAGAGAAAGUUCCUCAUAACUUCAGAAAUAAACUGUUCACUAUAACAUAAGACAUAUCUGGCCAUUCACCUUCUCUCAUCUGCACUGUGUAGUAUAGUAGAUUUACUAGUAAAAAAUCAUAUAGUUUUGAAAUGGUUUUAGAACGCAUAUACACACCUUAUUGAUAUUCAGGCAGAGAAAGAAUUCAAUAUUUCCUCCAGAGAAUAACUCCUUUCUCCAUAAUUUCCAUAGAAAGUUUGUGGGCAAAUGCGGUAAUAGACACAUUUAUAACAUCAAAAGGAUUCAAUUUUCUUUUCAAUCACAUAACAGUAUGAAUGGCUUUUUCCAUUGAAUCUAACAACGAGAGGCCAUUACCACAUGCUAAAGGAUGGGUUGCUGCCACUUGCUUUUAUGAAAGUCUGUCAAACAAUUUGUCAUGCCUCGCAUUUGUUCUAACCAAACGGGGCCUGUCAAACUGCUUUAUUCCUAAUUUGUCAGGCGGGGGUCAUUUUUAUUUUCAAUUGGAAUACACAAUCAUCAGUGAUACAUGUAUGGACUGUGUGCACACAUGCACUCUUUAAUACGGAGUUUUAUUUAAGUCUCUUUAAUAAAUUAACUACGCUACUGAAGAGAUCACAAAGCAUUGUGAUGACAACUGGAGUCAGUUAAUUACAGCUGGUAAAUCGUUUGGAAAUGAUGACAUACAAAGCAAAAGUGUGAUUGCGACACACUGAGUAUUUUGCUAGCUGGGGAUGUGGCCAGUGUUCAAAUAGAUGGGCGAUAAAAGCAAAUAUUUUCACCUCAGUCGUGUAAUGGCUCCGUUCGGAGCACUUUGUAGAAAAGGUUUUCAAUAAAUGGCUGCAAAGGGGUGAGUUCCUCAUCUUUCAAACAUGUUGUGGCUGUUUCCACUCUGGCUCUUUGUACUGCUCCACUGGAAUCCAUUCACAUGACACAAUUUAAGUAAUCAACCUGUACAAAAAUACUAACUACACACUCAACAGCUGGACUAUAGACUGAAAUUGAACUGGCCUGAUGUGUUGAUUGGGGUUUAACGUUAGGUAAAGUAAAACAUGAAUAAAUACCUUUUCCCUUUUGGGUAUGUAUAUAAUAUAAUGAUGAUCUGCUCUAUAUUCACUAUUAAUUAUCACGUGAAUUAAAAAGAUACAUACAAUAAAAGAGAUAAAGUAUAAAGAUAUAAUUUCCAAUAAUUUAGUUAUUAAUGCUUUGUCAGUUAGUAAUUCAUCCUCACCAUGUUGUACAUUUUUAAACAUUUUAUACAGUAAAAGUUCUGUACAGACUCAAAUUAAUAAUUUCACAAAAUCAUGUUUUACUGUAUGAAUGGAGAAAUGUACUUACCAUGAAAAAUAGUGGAGUAACAGGCAAAUGCAAAUUUAUUACGCAGUUCAACAUUCACCUUUACAGUUAUAGUCACCUGCAGUAUGAUGCGUUCAGGCUCUGUUCAUUCAAGUCAGAAUUGGUCAGCGGUAAAAUCUCGUAAAUUGUAGUGUUGGUGAGACACUUGAAUAUAUCUAGUUGUUAGAAGGAGAAGAUUUCCAAACAAAAUAUUUGCAGAUGUUAGCGAAGGAAUUAUAAUAUGUUAACAAUAUGUUCAGCAGUUUAUAAUGACUUAUUAAAACUACAAAUGACAAUAUUAAUUUUAACUAACACAGAUAUCUUUUAUUUACUUCUCAAGAAGCAAAAGGCAAGAUUUGAUUUUUGGAAAGUUUGAACUCACUUCAAAGCAGUUGAGGGAUGGCAAACUUUCUGGGGCCCCAUAUACUUGGACUUGGAGACCUUGAGGGAAUCUGUAUCCGCCAAUGCGGAUCAUCACCGAUCAUCAAUUAGGCGGAAAAACAACGUCAUCGGGGAUCUCUAAAAGUUAUUUUCGCUUUCUCAUCUGAUCUGUGAUCGAAUCCGUAAACCUGGCCUGUGAUACCGACCAAAUGCUUUAUGAUCCUUUAUGACACUUAUGCAUAUCGAAAGAAUCGAUGAGGCAGAUGAGGCAAUGUGAGCCAUGUUGAUACGUUUAACUGCCAGCUUGUAACAUAAUGCCUGCUUAGGAGCCAUUCUCUCCCUCCUGAGGCAAAUCAUGCCGUUGUGGAUGGAAGUUGUGGAUAUAAAAGACUUCACAAUAGUAUAUGGAAUUAGUUUUUUUUUUUUAAACUACAGUAUAUUACUAUGAAAAGGCAACUGCACUCUGAUGCUGAAUUGAGCGGAGUAGAAGUGUAAAGAUUUGUUUCUCAAGUUCAGUGCUUAUUGACAUGAGGUUGGUAAAAAGAAAUGUCACAAUCAUCUAAUCAGUUUGCAUUGACCGAACAUACUCAAUCAUUUCUUUUUUUUGUUCUUGUUUGAGAGCAUUAUCCUGGGGACAAUGUUAGCCACCUCAACUUGUACAUUUAUAAAUCUAACUUUGAUUUUAAGAUAAGAUUUUAUUCAUCUCACAGUUUAAAUCAAGUGCAUGACCACAAGUACGGAUUUAAUGAAUACAGAGAAUUAGUUGAAUAAGGGAAUAUCAUCGUAUGCCAAUUAUACAGGUGUUAUAGAUUUACUCAUUUAUUUAUGCGUGCCGGUGUGGUUCAGAUCAGAUGUCCCCUUCAUGUGGGGGCCUCUGCUUGGAUAUUAUUUGUGACUAUUCUUUCCUUGAUCGAACAACUCAUUGAAAUAUCAGUGCAUUGAUGUAGUGCAUCAAUGCACUGAUACUACUUCAACACAGACUGUGAUUGAAUACAUGGAUAUGUUUUGUGUGAGCAAUGAAGUUUUCAUAAUUGCAUGAAACAUCUCAGCAACUAAACGGAAUGCUGAGGGACUUGAGCCGUCCAACCGAAGCAUGGAAGCGCAAUCUGCAGAGAGUCAUUCUGAGAAACAGCUGGACUUGUCAGAUAUACUUAAUAGUGACUAUAUCCUUUGUGAAAGAUCUGGCUUAUACAUGGUAAUGAAUUAUAAGUGUGAUAAGAGAAACAUCAAAGGCAUAUCCAACUGAAGUUGUUGCCAGAUCUAGUGAAAUGUCAAAGUAAUGAGUUAUCAUUACAAUAAGAAAUGCAAGCUAAUGAUUAGUGAAAUGGGCAACAUUUGUAUCGUUAAUAUAUUAUAGACACUUAUUUUGCUUUAUGUCAAAGCAGACGUUUUAACAACCAUCUCAGGACAUUUGUCUAGCCAAUUCUAUAAUGUUUAAAGAAUGAGUUUAUGAUUUUGCUAAAAAAGAAACGCCUUUUUGCCACGCUACUUUGGUUUGUUCUUCCCCAUGAGAAAAGCUAACUUGAGCUAAAGAAAACCAUUAUGUGUAAUUGCAUCUGACAGCAUGUUGUAUUUAUAUCUCAUUGUAGUGACAAGGGAGUUACUUCCGAGUGGAAAAUGGUAUCUCAGGUCUCCUGCAUGCUUCUUAUCAUUGAUUCAUAGAGAACAGAAGCAACUCCUUGUAAAUGGAUGGAUAUGCAUUUAAGUGUCCAUCCUCCUUUCUUAAAAUUGUAGCCGCAGUUAUCUGCCAUCGUCACUUUCGGCCAUGUGCUCUGCCUGCUCAGAUUUUAAUGCUCUGGCAGGCAGGAUAGAGCUUAUAUUUAACAAGGCUGACAGGUUGGACAGUAAUGUAGUUGUCUAGGCUUUUAUUCCUUACUCGGGAUUGGAUUUUGAAAACCACAGCACAUUAGAAUGAAGUGCUCUCCGACAGCCCCCACAGGAAAGUUAAACUGCAGCGUGCAUCCCGGCUACAACAAGAGGUGCACUAAAAAUACUGUCUCUCCGGUCUGAAAGAGCUCACCGGGUUUAAACUGAAUGUGGAAAAACUUUUAGAAAGUUGUGGUAAUUACUAAAUUCAUAUGAAAAUUCUAAAUCAACCUUUUUCUUUCUUUUAUUAUUUGUAAAAUAUCUUUAUAACUGUGUUGUCCAAAAUUACUUUUAAAUUAAUUAGUUACUCUGUAGAGAAUAGGAUUUUUCUCAUUAAAUUCUGUGGUAAAUGUUGUAUUAGACAUUAAUGUUUUAUGUCUGUAAACAGAAACUGCAAGUAGAAACUAUUCUUCCAUCAUCAGAUAACUAAAGAUAACUAAAACACUGUCACUGUUUCAACGACAUUCUUUUCAAUUGUAAUAAUUUGUAAUUCAUCAUUUGAUAUUACAUUUGUUUGUGUUGCAGACAGACUGACCGGCUGACCAACAGGAUCAUUAUUAAAAUGAUUUCCUUUCAUCACAAACAAUACCUGCGUGAAGUAAACAGGAUGAAAUUCCACUACCUGGAUGAAGAAACAUUUCCUAUUUGAUGUUCAUAAUCAUACCGCUGUUCUUUUAUGGAGAAACCACUUAUAUUCUAAACAGGUCAUUCUUUUGAAUAUCACGGAUUAUUCACCUCUUUGUUCCAGUCUCUCAUGCAGCUUUACAAAUGCUUAUAUAGAUAACUUGAACUUGCAUAUGUUAAUGUUUUUAUAUAGUUGGUUAGAAUUCUAGACUUCUUAAUGAUUAAAAUGACUUAAGAUAUUUUUCACUGUCCCAGUUAUCAUUCCCUAACUUUUCUGUUCAGCGUUGCAUGUCGUUGUACGCAAGCUGACAGAGCCAAACAGCAGGCUUUUAGAUCACCUUAGAAUGACGUUCAAGUUUUAUAGGGACUCGCUGGUUACCAAAAGCUGGAGGAAAAAAUAAAUCGGCUGCCAGGCAGCUGGUCCUCUUCACAUUCACUUAUGGGGACACCCGCAAAAGCAAAGCCCACACCACAGCUGGAAACCAUCAGGAUGAAAAGUUGAGACUGUGGGCCUUCCCUCCCUGUGCCCAAAGACAUCAGGCUUUCAUCUCUGCAUGUAAAUGUGUCAUUCCCCAUUCAUUCCUCUUACGUUGUAAGGACAAAGGAAUUAACCAGACCUUUUUUUCGAAUUAAAAAUCCUGUUUUAAUGAACUCAGUCUUUUGAUUGAUCAAUCGUAAAAAUACAACCGUCAGUAGAUUGAUCUAACCCUCUACACAAUUGAACGUGCUCUGAUAAUUAGAUUUGACCCGAGGCUGUAGUACAUCACUGCCCUUUUUCAUGACAAAUGCUAAGACUUCAAAACAAAACAUGCGUUCAAAGUAACACCUCGGACCUGCACUCUCUAAAUUACAGACCAAAGUAAAAAACCCUUUUAAAGGAUGGAAAUGCUAGAUUUCUCGAAUGAAGGAUUCAGUGUAAGAAGGAAAGAAACAAUUCUGAUACAGAAACAAGUCAUAGAUAAUGAUCCAGUUUUUUGAGGGGGGGGGGGGGGGGCAACGAUGAAUGAGAAUAGCCAAGAACAAUUGCUUCAAUAGGGAAAUAGGAAAUUACUAAGUAUCCUCUGCCUGGUCCAUUAAUGUGGCUGGGACGUGAACCAAGACUUCCUGAAUUGACAGGAAGCCAUACACAUGUUGCCACUGAGUGAUGGGAGUGUGCGCAGGAAAAAGGCGGGGUUGGUCGGGCUUGUGGACCUGGCAUGCCAAGACAAAAACAUUGUGUGAUGAGCGCUACUCAGUGUGUUUAGAAGCUGGGAUGGCCAUUCAUCCACACCAGUCGGGCCUCCAUGGCAGUGAUUAGCAUUGUCAUCCUCAUUUACAGGCCCUCUAUGCAGAUGGCCCGCAUGCUGGAGGUGCCAGCAUAAGAGUGGCUGUUCACUCUCACAUAAUCACCCUCUGGCCUCUGCUCUCAUCUGUCCCCUUUAUUUCCAUAAAAAGUAUUCUAGGAAAAUUUGUAUGGCCGUUUUAUGUUCCUUUUAUUAUUGCUCUGGAUUAUAGGGAAUAGUCUUGCCAGUGCUUAUGCGCUGAUGGAUGUUUCGGUGGUGCUGGUGACGCAGUUGUGGUGUUUCUUUUGAAUUGCUCACAUCGGAAUGGCCAACAUUGGAUCUUUUAAAAAAACGAAUAAAAUCAGUUUAAUGCUGCGAUAUAAAACCACACAGCUCUAGUAAAAGAUGACAGUUUAACGCUGCAGAGGGAGAGAUCUGAUCAGCACACUGCCUGGGGCACUACAGGGCUGCCAGGGGCUGUUCGCGGCCUCUGUAGAUAUUCACAUUAGGCCCCACUACCAGGCCUGUGGAGAAGAAAGUACUGCAGACAUACAGCAUAUGUCACGUACGUUUGAUACCACAUCACCGUGCAAAGAUGUCUGAUAAACCAAUUUCAAACCUUGGACAGCAACCUCUGGCUGGUUUUGCAUGGCCUCGUUUCACUUGCCUAUACGUCUGCUAUCUUCUCUACUCUGCUCUCCACACCCCUCCUCACAUCUCAAAACCCAGAUGAUAGACCCAAUAAUUAAAGCAAUUCUGAAUGGGUUGGAAAGCUCUGGAGCAUCUGUGUGUGUCAGAUUCUUGACAUGAUACAGUGGGACAGCAAAACUAUUAAAUAUCCAUCAUGCCACGCCACAUCAGUUCUAAUGCAAUCAGAAACACAUGAGUACGUCGGCUAAGUCCCUUUCCAUCCACAAUGAUUAAAGAAGUAUUUAAUUUCAAAGACAAAUAAAAAAUGCAAGAUCAUUUUAUCAAAAAUGUAAAUGACCUGUCUCUUUGCAUGACACUUACCGGCAACAGAGCCGGAGUCAAUACGAAAGUCUGUACACUACUGGGAACGGCAAAACAGGGACCAUUUUCUCUGAUGGCCAUUAUUCUAAUACGAUGUUCGUGUAUUUACUUUAAUUCUCUGUCGCCAAAUAUGGACAGCAAAGGUGAAAGGCCUCGUCACUAAAAGACAAGAUGGAAUAAAGAGGACAUUGUCAAUACAAUAUAAUAUGAACUCCCCUAUAAUGCUGGACUCAAAUGUAUUUGGCUUUACAAAUUUGGUAUUAGUAGAAUAUGUUUUUUAUUCAAAUAAAAAAGGAGACAAAUGAUAGAAUAAAUUAUCUUUGCAUUAGGCUUAAGGCCAUAGGGACCAUUUUGAAGGUUCUUUUGCAAAUAAGAAUAUAAGGGAGAUAUUUCUUUUAAAAUGGGUUGAUAAUUGUACUUGUCUCAACACUGCUUGGAUGAUAAUUAUGAAACCUUUUAACUGAGAGUUGAUUCUCUAAAAGAAAUAAUCAUAAAAGGACACCCAAAGAAUAAGAGCAACUCACUAAUUUGCACUAUUUUUCACUAAGAGCUAUGGCAUCCUAAGCAGCGAAUGAAGACACACUUCCUCCUUGUGUGUUAUUGGAGCUUCUCUUUUCUUUGUUUUGCUAGCAGGGAAGCCAGGCAUGCAUGUUACUGCAUGUAAAUCCUGUAAAGGAUUAAAUCCGUGCUCGAGUACCGCUGACAACACCUUCACGCCACAACACGUCGUCACGGGAGUUAGUCUGCCCUCGGCGGGUGUGAGCCAAAACGCAAAUUACACUGCUAGCUCUGUUAGCACUGUUAGCGUUAGUGAUGACGCCCCUGCAGACCUCUCGCCCCAUUUCGGCUCUAGAAACUCUUAAACGGUUAUCUAGUUGCUUCAGAGUCAGACGGUGUGGAAGCGAUCGCGAAACAGACUCUGGAUCUCGUACAUCGUCUUUAGCACCCUUUUAUACUGCAAAAUACAAUUUUUCUUCUUUGGACAAUCCAGAUGUGUGUGAGGGAUGAAAUACAAAACAGUCAUUUGACUUUGGCUUAAAUGACAUUUGAAUUUGACAGUAAAGAGAAAAGGAUACACGACAACACAGAGAGUGUGCAGGAAUUACUGGGGGAUGUCAAAACUGGCUCGUAUUCAACACAGCCCACCUGACUCUAUUGCUCUCAUGUUUAUGCAGGGAGAAACUGAACUCUUUUGAUUCACCAGUGACGCUUUUGAUUUUGAUUUUGAGUGUCUCCCGGCAGCCUUUCAACGCUGUACUUCAGGCAUUCACUUUAUCAAGCUCGGGUGGGGCAGAGCACGGGCGUGAGUGAGUGUGGAUGACAAAUGUAUGGAUCUGGUUAAGUUCAUAUUUGGGAAGCUGCACUCACCUUUUCAGUUUUCCAAAGUCCCUCCACUUGUCCUGGUGUUACCCGGCAUCCCACAACCUUCUGCUUGAUGUACAUGUAAGUGCUGUCUCACGCCAAACACAGGCAGAGGGAGCCUUCUGAAAGGCUGGUGAAUACAUUACCUUUUCACAUGAAGUUGAUUCAAACAUAAACAACUUUAAAGUGCUUCUUUUGAGCAUGAAGAUCAAGAUAUUCUGUGUCAACAAACCCAAGCUGUCCAAGUUUCUCCAAAGUUUUCAUGAGUUUUAAAUAUCAUCUUGACAAAAGCUUAAAUCAUGUCAGGAGACCAGCUGUAACAAUCAAUGAUUCCAGCCGUUAUUCUCGGAGUGAAACAAGUAAUGAGUAGAUUUUGCACACAUGAUGAAUAUUAAACAUAUAAUUAGGUUUAUUAAAAAUGAUUGUGAUUAAACAUCACAUUAUAUAACAUCUAUUGUUGUUACCCACUGUACGUUUCUCCUUCUUGUUUCUAUUUACUCCACUUUUCAAUAAAGUUAGUCAGGUAAAGUUUUGAAACUUACCUAAGUCAGUGCAAAGGUUAGUUGAGCAAUAGUUUAAAAAUAGAAACUCUUAAUCAAAGAAUUCCAUGUUCCUUGUGAAGAUAUAUCGUACUAAAAUCAAAUGUAUUUGUAUGCAGACUAUUGUCUGGAAGAUCUCCCCAUGAUGAAAAGUAUGCAGAAUAAAAGAUCAGGCCUGUAUAUCAAAGUGAGAGACACAUAUACUCUUGAUGAUGGGAUGGAGGAGCAUUAAUGGAAACACUCCCAUGUACAAGAGGGGCAACUGGGGUCAAACGCAGGGGUGCUGUUAUUCAGGAGGGUCCCAGACGACAUUAAGCAGCACCUCACCUAGAGAUCCCCCAAAUGAUCUACUGAGCCUGUCAACCCGGGUUGGGCCUGGGGGGGAUGGGAGGGGGGAGUCAGCUAACAUGACGAGAGAGCCAUACAAAUAAAUCACAAUUCACUCAGGGAGCAGUCGCACUCAAUGACACAUUCACUGGCUGCCUCUACAGCUCAUUUGAUAACGCUCUUGCCACGUCAUUCAUUUCUCUGAAGGAUGAAAGGGAAGCUGAAAAUGUCAUCAGCUCACUGAAGCAGGGAUGCCAGUGACUCAGAAUAAAGAGGGAGGGAUGUGUCUUAUAAUUAAUUUUUUUUUUUUUUUUUAACCAUGCUACAGCCGGAAAGAUAUCCCACUAUUUGCCGCGGGUCUUUCAAUUAGACAUGCAUUGUAAUUAAAUGCUGUGUCACGGGGCUGUUGGGGCGUGCCGGAUUUAUGUCCCAGGAUAAGUUACCGCCAUUCAUUAUCAUGAUGGAUAGCACGGCGUGAGAGGAAUAUUGUUAGAGUCCCUUUACGAAAGCUGGAGCGAUUGCAUGAUAAUAGAAAUACGUCGUACUCUUGACAGUUUAUAAUGCGGAAACUGUUCAAUUUCAAAUCUUGACAAUCAGCAACUUAGUCAUUAGACAUACAGUAUAGUUAGAUAUACAGUAUACACCACACCAAGUGACUGAGUUACGCAAAUUAUAGCUUUGCAAAAAGUACAUUUCUCCAAAUAAAAGAGUGGUCUAACACAAACAAUCAAUAUCUGCAUGUUUUUUCUUAGAUGUAUUACUGUAUCAAAGCCAGCGCAUGCUUCUUUCCACUUUCUUUUUUAAGAGAAAAGAAAGUGAGUGAGAAACACAGAAUGAGAGGAGCUUCUAGGUGGCCCGGCCUUGGUACAGCAUGUGGCUGUUCUGUGAAGUCAGAAGAAAGCCUGAGAAGACACUCAUCUUUGGACGUGUCUUCAGGACAUGGUGUUGUCAUCUUGACAGCGCUACCUUUGUGUUAGAUGUGCUUUCAAGUCCAGAAUCCCCUCCUUACUUCAGAAAAGCCGAUGCUCUCAUGAGUAUUUCUCUGUAUCGCCCAGGAUCACACACGUUGUGUUGUUGUUCAAUUUCUAUAGCUUCAUCCUUGAUAUUAAUAUUUUGAACAACAGUGGAUUUAGUCUUAAUCAUUUAUAACCAAAACAUUAUCAAAAAAGAACUUUGUUUUCCUAAAUUAUGUAAGUAAGAAGAUCUCUGAUACGAGUGUGUUGUGCUUUAGUUCAAACGAAGCACAUUGAGCGACUAUUUUCUCCACAAUGUGUCAUCAUGUGCUUCUGUAAUUUUGAGUUGCUUGGUGGUGGCAGGGAUGACAUACAAACGUUAACAGACAUCAUGAGUAAGACAUUGAACGAUUUCCUGUUUCCCUGUUAUGUCCAAAUUUAUAUCAGAACACCAACAUUUAAUGUGGUAUUACCACGCAACUGGGGCCUUUUCUACAUGUUUAGGGAAACCUGCCACAGCAGCUGUACUGCUGUAUAUUGAACUGUAACUUAUGGACUUAUAAGUACAACCCAAACACGUUGAAUCCCUUUCUAAAAAUGUUGGUAAAUCUAUCAAUGGAGAUGACGAGAUGAUUUUCAUUCUCAUGUCUUUGAGAUAUCUGUGUCCGAGAUUUUUUGUACCAACCAAUACAUUUCAAUGUCUAACAAACAUGUCAAAACACAUUUUCCUCUUGAGGACAUUACCAAAGCCUAUUUUAAGAUUUUAAGGAGUUUCGGAUAAAAUAUGUAAGUUUGUUAUAACAAUAAUACACACGUGAAGUAUAAGGCUACGUUAUGGAAAUGCACUUAAUGCCAAUCUUUGCAUCAGUAUAAAACCCAAACUCUGAAGUAAUUGUGGUUUCCUAUACCGCCAGAAGCUAAGGAAGAGCAGUUCAAAGAGCCAUGGUAAUAUUAUUUCUAACCUUGUAUUGAAAGGAUUUCACUUAGUCUGACUAUAAAAUCCUGUGAAAUUCCAUAAAAGACAUGAAAACAUCCGUCUGACAGACGUGGAAGGUUUGGGUGUCUACUAUCGGGAGAAAUGACUACUAAACUUUCCCCCUUGCACGCUGGUGCGGCAGAUGUAAACACUCCCAGGACCUGCUCAUCAAAACAUUUCUGUAGCUAGUGGUCAACAUAUCUAGAGGCUAUCAUGAAUGUCAUGUUCUAUGCUUCAAAAACGCAUAAACACUUUGCCACACAAAUUGAUGUAACAGGAGCCCUGACCCCUAUUUCCUUCAUGUUUCUACUGUUUAGUUAAAAAGCACUGUGAGUGUUUUCUGUCAUUGCUUUUUUAUGCUGUCCAUCUUCCUGGUUGGAUUCUCAGUGAAAAUGCUGUUCACUAUAAUAGACUUGGCCAUUUGGGGCUGCACACAAUGAGUGUUGUUGUAAUUUCUCCUGUCAUGGGCAAUGAAUGGACCAUGUUUCCUUUUUUCCCUUUUGCUUGUUUCCUACAUGUAGACGGCAAUUUACAUGGAGACAUUAAUGUAACUGUCAUGUUCUAUCCAAGAGCGCUGAAGCAGAACUGCUAAAAGACAGCCAAGCCACAGCACUGAUGCUCAGAGCACCAAAGAUUGAGCGGCAAUGCAAAGUUAAUGGAAUUAAGUAAAGAAUGCUCCCAUUCACCGAAGCAGGGACAAAAAUAACAUUUAAAUAAGCCUUGGUCUGGAAAUAAAUGAUAGAAAUAAGCAACUCAAAAGGCAUGUGUUCAUUUAAUGUGUAUAGGGUGGUGGAGGGGGGGACUUUUUCUAUGAUUUCUCUCCUUGGCUUAUUGUUGUCUAAAUAAGAGAAUAGGCAAUUAGAGAAUAUGCAAUUAUUACAUUUAAUAAACUGCUGGGUUGAGUGCAAACCUUCCAAGAACAUUGGUUAUGCAGUAAGUUGCUUUCACCGUAAUGCUGUUAUGUUGUAUUUCAUCAGUUAUCAGUUGUUUCAUGUCUGAGAACAAGCAGUGGCAGGGGAGCUCAACUGUAGGUGGAAGGGCUUUGGGAGACACCGUAGAAAAACAAGGUCCUGUGCCUCCAUAUUGCAUGUUCAGAAUCUGCCGUAUUUUCACCAGGGAUCCUGCAGGCACAAGGAUGCACUAAAUAGGGAGGUCAGCGUGGUCUUUUAUACCACAACGGUCUACUCUAGAGUUGACAAUCUACAACAGAAACUCUGCCAGCAAUAAGGGAUCUGAUGCAGUGAGGCUUUUGGGUUUUGGGAUGACACUUUUGAGACACUGCUGACUCAAAAACGCAAAGUAUAAAAAGGAAAAUAAUACAUUUAUUCUAAUGCAUUUCUCUUUGCUGAUAUGUCCAUUUUACUUAGAUGGAAUUGUAUAUUGGUAUAAUUAAGAGAGGAAGGUUUUUUAUCUAAUUGAAGAAUUGUUGUUCAGCUGGAUGUUAUUACAUUGUACAAAUCAGGAAAUUACAUCCCGUUGCAAACAUCUAUUUACUGUCAGAAAUCUGCAAAGAAACGCCGCUUGCUCAUUAAUGUCUCAAGGAUCUUAUGAAUGGAAAAACAAACAAAAUGGGUGUUUUUUUUGCAAAAGAGCAACAUUUUCUUUUCUUUUCAUUGAAAUGGUAUCCUGGCUGUCAUAGUCCAUUUACCCAUUUUCAUUCUGUACUGAAGCCAGUUGUUACAGAGGAAGAUUAUAAGAAAGAAAAUAAUACUAAACUAAGGUUUAUCUCAAUUAAUUAUUCGGCAGAACUAUCUAUCAAAAACACACAAGUGUCAAGCCUUUAAUUCUUUUGUUAUCAAUAAUGCAUUAGUGGCUACUUCAUUAAUUCAUGAUAGUGUUUACUAACUGCUUUCGUUUUCAUCACAGCCUGUGUAGAAUUAGACAUUUUUGUAUCCAACCUCUUCAUGAUGCUGAGCUGCUCUUGUUUUUGUGUGACAAUGAGAAGCUGAGUAAUAUUUGUGUCAUGCCAUGAAUUGGAUAUUAGCGUAAAUAUUAUCAUAAAACAGAUGGAAUAUCAUCCAAAUUGCGUUAAGCCAAAUUAAUUUAAAAAGAAACAAUGGCAAUAUGAACGACAAUAAUAAACAUAAAACUUGCAUUAACAGCUACGUUUCUGCCUAUUGGCCAUUUGUGUGAGAUGGAAGUCAUUAUUUAAUUAAGUUAAUAGCAAGCAGAGGUUAAAAGGAGCCUAGUACGUAUUGCAAAAAGUUAAUAUUGUCACUCUGUACACUCACUUCAUUCAUUUGUGUUGUGGAAAACACUUAUUUGUGCAUAAUGAGGCAAAACCUGAACUAUUUAUAAGAAAAUCAUCCAUAUCCGCAAAUGUAUUAACACACUGUUACUUCUUUUCUAUUUGUUGGCAGUGCUAACAACAUAGUUGUAUUUAAACAAAAGAAAAAUGGGAUUUUAUUAAUCACUUAAGCAAGCAAAAGUCAAGGCAGUCGGUUGUAUGAGAUCAUAUACAUUAUGUUUAUGACCAGGGUUAAACCCACAUUGAUCUAUUGCAGAACAUUCAAUCUUUAAAUGUUCUUAUAACAUGCACACACUUAAACAUUCAUCAUAACAGGAUAUUUAUACGGGGCAUUUCAUUUCCUUUAAAUUGUUUUACUUUUUUAUUUGUGUUGCUGUCCAGUUCUGUGUGGCUUCAUUCAUAUUAACGUUUUUUAUUUGCCGUGUGAAGUGUUUUUCCUCAAUUGUCACUUGAGUGUUAAAACUUAGUCUGUUUGGGAUCCAAUAGCAAAACAGAAUUUAGGGAUUUUUUUGCGAAGUUGAUUCAAAGAGGGAAGUAAGCAAGAGAAACAAUAAUGGCUUCUGAAAAAAAUCUAUAAUAUGUCAUAAAAUCUUGAUUACCAAUUUUGCUUUCAACAUAGAAAACCCAGUCAUUUAUAUUUUAUUUAUUUAUUUUUUAUCGUAGUGUCACUCUCUCUCAUCCAGUGUAUGAUUUAAGAUGCAGUCUCGAUUACUGUAUAGGACUUCAGAUAAUUUACCAAGAAAGAAAAAAAAGAAGAAGCCUUUAUCUUUA